RNAcentral lists this ribosomal RNA (253 nucleotides) under uncultured bacterium. RNAcentral's name for it is "partial 16S ribosomal RNA". It matches the Rfam family "Bacterial small subunit ribosomal RNA", at positions 524 to 776 of the family's 1533-position model. The record is from RNAcentral.
UACGGAGGGUGCAAGCGUUAUCCGGAAUUACUGGGCGUAAAGCGUGCGCAGGCGGCGCGAUCAGUCGGGGGUGAAAGCCCGAGGCUCAACCUCGGAAAUGCCUUCGAUACUGUCGCGCUCGAGUACGGAAGAGGGUCGCGGAAUUCUUGGUGUAGAGGUGAAAUUCGUAGAUAUCAGGAAGAACACCAGUGGCGAAAGCGGCGACCUGGUCCGAAACUGACGCUCAUGCACGAGAGAGUGGGGAGCAAACAGG